CCUACGGGAGGCAGCAGUGGGGAAUAUUGCGCAAUGGGCGAAAGCCUGACGCAGCGACGCCGCGUGGGGGAUGACGGCCUUCGGGUUGUAAGCCUCUUUCAGCAGGGACGAAGCGAAAGUGACGGUACUUGCAGAAAAAGCACCGGCCAACUACGUGCCAGCAGCCGCGGUAAU
Molecule: ribosomal RNA, 174 nt
Filed under: uncultured Blastococcus sp.
Lineage: Bacteria; Bacillati; Actinomycetota; Actinomycetes; Geodermatophilales; Geodermatophilaceae
Description: partial 16S ribosomal RNA
Rfam family: Bacterial small subunit ribosomal RNA
Source: RNAcentral